UGAUCUGUUUGUUCUUUCAGCAGACUCGGUUAGUGUUUCACUCCACAGCAGCAGAAACACAGCAGAGGUAACCAAAACAUGAGGAAUACUGUAGCUAAAGUUCAGACAAUCACUACAGGGGAAACCUUUGGAGCUGAUGUGGAUUUGAUGAACCAAAUCUUCCAAAAGGAUACAAGUCAGGAUGCACAACACAUCAUCCUUUUCUGUCCAAUCACAUCUCGGGUUGGCUCAGAUGUGCAGGCAGCCCUGGAAAAAGUCCCAUAUGGUCGAAGAGUCAUCCUGGUUUUGAUGCACCACACCCGAGAUGCUGACUACUCAACGGCUGGGACAAAGUGGUCAGAAUGCAUUGAAAACGUUGUCCUGGAUGUUCACGUUCUCUUCCAUGAAAGCGUCCCAGGAUUACUGCGCUGUGCACAAAAUCACAAGGCAGUGUUGGAAAUAAGAAAUUUUUUCGCUCACAAAAAGAAUUCAGAUCAGAAUUGGGCUUUGAUUGCGUAUGGCUAUUGGCUAUUGUGUUGUGUUUUUUCUUGGAUCUUAUCUGAUGACAGGUCUUGGAUGAGUCUCUGGAACUGGUUCUGGCAUCCAGACAGGCUUUGGGUGAAGCUUAUGAUUUGGUUUAGUACUCAGCUUUCUCGUUUGAUUUCAGUUUUGCUGUUCUAUGUAAGAAAACCAAAAGUUAUUAAAGACAGACUUCCUUAAUACCAUCAUUAAUGUCUCUUACACACAAACAGAGUCAUUACAAAAUUGUCUAUAUGAACACAGGCACCUAUAGGCAGAAACUAGAGAACAGCUCAGCCAGAGUUACUAUAUUUGUAGUCACAGAUAAUUAUCUGACUUGCUUCAUAGGCUCCAAAGGCAUUUAAUAUGACAUUACAUUGAAAUAAAAAUCUCUUACUCUGCAGAAAACUACCUUGCAAUUGUUAGACUAUGUCAAAAUAAAGUGUUUAUGAUUGUGAUGCUGAUAUAAUAAACUGUCUAGUUGCUUUUUACUGAAGGUCAAAUAGACGGUUUGAAUAAAUGAAUUCUUGUGACUCUUCUUAAUGCAUGUUGUAAACUUGAAUUAGACCUCUGCCUGUAACUAUUGCAACAUGAUGUUUGGGAACUGUUUCCUAUAAAAAUUAUCAAUAAAGUUUGAAAGAACAAUAGAA
Gambusia affinis (western mosquitofish) is the source of this 1148-nucleotide long non-coding RNA. RefSeq lists it as uncharacterized. The transcript has 4 exons. The record is from RefSeq and is a predicted model, not a curated record. Lineage: Eukaryota; Metazoa; Chordata; Actinopteri; Cyprinodontiformes; Poeciliidae.